UACGGGAGGCAGCAGUGGGGAAUAUUGGACAAUGGGCGAAAGCCUGAUCCAGCAAUGCCGCGUGAGUGAUGAAGGCCUUAGGGUUGUAAAGCUCUUUUACCAGGGAUGAUAAUGACAGUACCUGGAGAAUAAGCUCCGGCUAACUCCGUGCCAGCAGCCGCGGUAAUACGGAGGGAGCUAGCGUUGUUCGGAAUUACUGGGCGUAAAGAGUACGUAGGCGGUGAUUCAAGUCAGAGGUGAAAGCCUGGAGCUCAACUCCAGAACUGCCUUUGAAACUAGAUCGCUAGAAUUAUGGAGAGGUUAGUGGAAUUCCGAGUGUAGAGGUGAAAUUCGUAGAUAUUCGGAAGAACACCAGUGGCGAAGGCGACUAACUGGACAUAUAUUGACGCUGAGGUACGAAAGCGUGGGGAGCAAACAGGAUUAGAUACCCUGGUAGUCCACGCCGUAAACGAUGAUAACUAGCUGUUCGGGGUCUACGAUCCUGAGUGGCGCAGCUAACGCAUUAAGUAU
RNAcentral lists this ribosomal RNA (510 nucleotides) under uncultured Alphaproteobacteria bacterium. RNAcentral's name for it is "bacterial SSU rRNA". It matches the Rfam family "Bacterial small subunit ribosomal RNA", at positions 340 to 867 of the family's 1533-position model. Lineage: Bacteria; Pseudomonadati; Pseudomonadota; Alphaproteobacteria. The record is from RNAcentral.